UAUUGAAAAUGACAAUCAAUAUAAAGUACCAGUCAGACAGAUAUGGCUAGGAAGAUUGUUAUGACUAUUUG
RNAcentral lists this transfer RNA (71 nucleotides) under Schistosoma mansoni. The record is from RNAcentral. Lineage: Eukaryota; Metazoa; Platyhelminthes; Trematoda; Strigeidida; Schistosomatidae.